CUUAGCGACCAUAGCGCUUUGGACCCACCUGAUUCCAUUCCGAACUCAGAAGUGAAACGAAGUAGCGCCGAUGGUAGUGUGGGGUUUCCCCAUG
RNAcentral lists this ribosomal RNA (94 nucleotides) under Vibrio vulnificus. Lineage: Bacteria; Pseudomonadati; Pseudomonadota; Gammaproteobacteria; Vibrionales; Vibrionaceae. The record is from RNAcentral.